GUGCAGCAGUCGAGAAUCCUCCGCAAUGCGCGAAAGCGCGACGGGGCCACCCCGAGUGCCGCCCGCUGAGGGUGGCUUUUCCCCGGUGUAGACAGCCGGGGGAAUAAGGAGAGGGCAAGUCUGGUGUCAGCCGCCGCGGUAAUACCAGCUCUCCGAGUGGUGGGGACGAUUAUUGGGCCUAAAGCGUCCGUAGCCGGCCCAGCAAGUCCUCCGUUAAAUCCAGCGAUCCAAUCGCUGGACUGCGGGGGAUACUGCUGGGCUAGGGGGCGGGAGAGGCCGGCGGUAUUCCCGGGGUAGGGGUGAAAUCCUAUAAUCCCGGGAGGACCACCAGUGGCGAAGGCUGCCGGCUGGAACGCGCCCGACGGUGAGGGACGAAAGCCGGGGGAGCGAACCGGAUUAGAUACCCGGGUAGU
RNAcentral lists this ribosomal RNA (413 nucleotides) under uncultured microorganism. RNAcentral's name for it is "bacterial SSU rRNA". It matches the Rfam family "Archaeal small subunit ribosomal RNA", at positions 330 to 745 of the family's 1478-position model. The record is from RNAcentral.